Molecule: ribosomal RNA, 497 nt
Filed under: uncultured bacterium
Lineage: Bacteria
Description: partial 16S ribosomal RNA
Rfam family: Bacterial small subunit ribosomal RNA
Source: RNAcentral
GAUGAACGCUGGCGGCGUGCCUAAUACAUGCAAGUCGAGCGAACAGACGAGGAGCUUGCUCCUCUGACGUUAGCGGCGGACGGGCGAGUAACACGUGGAUAACCUACCUAUAAGACUGGGAUAACUUCGGGGAACCGGAGCUAAUACCGGAUAAUAUAUUGUACCGCAUGGUUCAAUAGUGAAAGACGGUUUUGCUGUCACUUAUAGAUGGAUCCGCGCCGCAUUAGCUAGUUGGUAAGGUAACGGCUUACCAAGGCAACGAUGCGUAGCCGACCUGAGAGGGUGAUCGGCCACACUGGAACUGAGACACGGUCCAGACUCCUACGGGAGGCAGCAGUAGGGAAUCUUCCGCAAUGGGCGAAAGCCUGACGGAGCAACGCCGCGUGAGUGAUGAAGGUCUUCGGAUCGUAAAGCUCUGUUAUUAGGGAAGAACAAAUGUGUAAGUAACUAUGCACGUCUUGACGGUACCUAAUCAGAAAGCAACGGCUAACUACGUG